GCUAAUGCUCGAAAGUGCGGGUAUCGAACAGGAUUAGAUACCCUGGUAGUCCGCACGGUAAACGAUGGAUGCCCGCUGUUGGCGAUACAAUGUCAGCGGCCAAGCGAAAGCGUUAAGCAUCCCACCUGGGGAGUACGCCGGCAACGGUGAAACUCAAAGGAAUUGACGGGGGCCCGCACAAGCGGAGGAACAUGUGGUUUAAUUCGAUGAUACGCGAGGAACCUUACCCGGGCUUGAACUGCAGGAGAACGAUUCAGAGAUGAUGAGGUCCUUCGGGACUCCUGUGGAGGUGCUGCAUGGUUGUCGUCAGCUCGUGCCGUGAGGUGUCGGCUUAAGUGCCAUAACGAGCGCAACCCCUUUCUUCAGUUGCCAUCAGGUUAUGCUGGGCACUCUGGAGACACUGCCACCGUAAGGUGUGAGGAAGGUGGGGAUGACGUCAAAUCAGCACGGCCCUUACGUCCGGGGCUACACACGUGUUACAAUGGGUGGUACAGAGAGCGGGCUGCCUGCAAAGUCAGCCGAAUCAUGAAAGCCAUCCUCAGUUCGGAUUGGGGUCUGCAACCCGACCCCAUGAAGCUGGAUUCGCUAGUAAUCGCGCAUC
This 601-nucleotide ribosomal RNA is filed under the name uncultured bacterium. Its description in RNAcentral is "bacterial SSU rRNA". It matches the Rfam family "Bacterial small subunit ribosomal RNA", at positions 745 to 1350 of the family's 1533-position model. The record is from RNAcentral.